Phrynosoma platyrhinos (Desert horned lizard) is the source of this 70-nucleotide non-coding RNA. The record is from the annotation of a GenBank genome assembly. NCBI's taxonomy places the organism in Eukaryota, Metazoa, Chordata, Lepidosauria, Squamata, Phrynosomatidae.
GCCAGCAUGGUGUAGUGGUUGGACUUAGGCUACGACUCUGGAGACCAGGGUUCAAAUCCCCAUUCAGCCA